UACGGAGGGGGCAAGCGUUGUUCGGAAUUACUGGGCGUAAAGGGCGCGCAGGCGGCUGCUCAAGUCAGGCGUGAAAGGCCUGGGCUCAACCCGGGAAUUGCGCUUGAGACUGGGCUGGCUUGAGUGCGGGAGAGGAUGGUGGAAUUCCCAGUGUAGAGGUGAAAUUCGUAGAUAUUGGGAAGAACACCGGUGGCGAAGGCGGCUACCUGGACCGGUUCUGACACUGAUGCGCGAAAGCGUGGGUAGCAAACAGG
This 254-nucleotide ribosomal RNA is filed under the name uncultured bacterium. Its description in RNAcentral is "partial 16S ribosomal RNA". It matches the Rfam family "Bacterial small subunit ribosomal RNA", at positions 524 to 776 of the family's 1533-position model. The record is from RNAcentral.